AGAGUUUGAUCCUGGCUCAGAACGUACGCUGGCGGCACGCCUAACACAUGCAAGUCGAACGAAGUAGCAAUACUUAGUGGCAGACGGGUGAGUAACAUGUAGGUAUCUGCCCUUUGGCCUGGAAUAACACGAGGAAACUUGUGCUAAUACCGGAUAAGUCUUUACGGAGAAAGCUUUAUGCACCAUUGGAUGAGCCUGCACUUGAUUAGUUUGUUGGUGGGGUAAUGGCCUACCAAGACUGUGAUCAAUAGCUGAUUUGAGAGGAUGAUCAGCCACACUGGGACUGAGACACGGCCCAAACUCCUACGGGAGGCAGCAGUGGGGAAUCUUGCACAAUGGAGGAAACUCUGAUGCAGCGAUGCCGCGUGAGUGAAGAAGGCCCUUGGGUUGUAAAGCUCUUUCGUCGGGGAAGAAAAUGACUGUACCCGAAUAAGAAGGUCCGGCUAACUUCGUGCCAGCAGCCGCGGUAAU
Molecule: ribosomal RNA, 471 nt
Filed under: uncultured bacterium
Lineage: Bacteria
Description: bacterial SSU rRNA
Rfam family: Bacterial small subunit ribosomal RNA
Source: RNAcentral